Molecule: ribosomal RNA, 252 nt
Filed under: uncultured archaeon
Lineage: Archaea
Description: partial 16S ribosomal RNA
Rfam family: Archaeal small subunit ribosomal RNA
Source: RNAcentral
CAGCCGUAAACUAUGCGCGUUAGGUGUAUCGGUGACCACGAGUUACCGAGGUGCCGAAGGGAAACCGUGAAACGUGCCGCCUGGGAAGUACGGUCGCAAGGCUGAAACUUAAAGGAAUUGGCGGGGGAGCACCACAACAGGUGGAGCCUGCGGUUUAAUUGGACUCGACGCCGGGAAGCUCACCGGAUAGGACAGCAGAAAUGAUUGCCGGGCUGAAGACCCUGCAUGACUAGCUGAGAGGUGGUGCAUGGC